CCGCGGGAUUAGAGUUUGAUCAUGGCUCAGAUUGAACGCUGGCGGCAGGCCUAACACAUGCAAGUCGAGCGGUAACAGAAAAGAAGCUUGCUUCUUUUGCUGACGAGCGGCGGACGGGUGAGUAAUGCCUGGGAAUAUGCCUUAUGGUGGGGGACAACAGUUGGAAACGACUGCUAAUACCGCAUAAUGUCUACGGACCAAAGGGGGGGAUCUUCGGACCUCUCGCCAUUUGAUUAGCCCAAGUGAGAUUAGCUAGUUGGUAAGGUAAUGGCUUACCAAGGCGACGAUCUCUAGCUGGUUUGAGAGGAUGAUCAGCCACACUGGGACUAAGACACGGCCCAGACUCCUACGGGAGGCAGCAGUGGGGAAUAUUGCACAAUGGGGGAAACCCUGAUGCAGCCAUGCCGCGUGUGUGAAGAAGGCCUUCGGGUUGUAAAGCACUUUCAGUUGUGAGGAAAGGUGUGUAGUUAAUAGCUGCAUACUGUGACGUUAACAACAGAAGAAGCACCGGCUAACUUCGUGCCAGCAGCCGCGGUAAUACGAGGGGUGCAAGCGUUAAUCGGAAUUACUGGGCGUAAAGCGUUCGUAGGCGGUUGAAUAAGCAAGAUGUGAAAGCCCAGGGCUCAACCUUGGAACUGCAUUUUGAACUGUUCGACUAGAGUACUGUAGAGGGAGGUAGAAUUUCA
RNAcentral lists this ribosomal RNA (686 nucleotides) under uncultured Vibrionaceae bacterium. Its description in RNAcentral is "bacterial SSU rRNA". It matches the Rfam family "Bacterial small subunit ribosomal RNA", at positions 1 to 671 of the family's 1533-position model. Lineage: Bacteria; Pseudomonadati; Pseudomonadota; Gammaproteobacteria; Vibrionales; Vibrionaceae. The record is from RNAcentral.